UGUUGUUAUGUUUCAGGACACUAACCUUCCAAUAUGUAUGGCCCUCUUUGGCUCGUUUCAGUGUGCAAUAUGUCCAUCGUGUUACAACGAAGUUCCAGAACAAUAUGAAUCAAAAUCAACAUAAAUGAACAACAUUUAUAACCAGAUUUUACCAAUGGUAUUAUAUAGUAUAGUACAUGUACAAGUAUUAACGUACCUGUAAAUCUAAUUAG
RNAcentral lists this long non-coding RNA (212 nucleotides) under Mytilus galloprovincialis (Mediterranean mussel). Lineage: Eukaryota; Metazoa; Mollusca; Bivalvia; Mytilida; Mytilidae. The record is from RNAcentral.